UGAGUAACGCGUGAGCAACCUGCCCGUUACAGGGGAUAACACAGCGAAAGUUGUACUAUACCGCAUAAGACCACGGGAGGACAUCCUUCAGGGGUCAAAGGAGGAAUCCGGUAAGGGUGGGCUCGCGUCCGAUUAGAUAGUUGGUGAGGUAACGGCCCACCAAGUCGACGAUCGGUAGCCGACCUGAGAGGGUGAUCGGCCACAUUGGGACUGAGACACGGCCCAAACUCCUACGGGAGGCAGCAGUGGGGAAUAUUGGGCAAUGGGGGGAAACCCUGACCCAGCAACGCCGCGUGAGGGAAGAAGGUUUUCGGAUCGUAAACCUCUGUCCUUGGUGAAGAGGAAGAGACGGUAGCCAAGGAGGAAGCCCCGGCUAACUACGUGCCAGCAGCCGC
RNAcentral lists this ribosomal RNA (395 nucleotides) under uncultured bacterium. Its description in RNAcentral is "bacterial SSU rRNA". It matches the Rfam family "Bacterial small subunit ribosomal RNA", at positions 107 to 518 of the family's 1533-position model. The record is from RNAcentral.